AUUUUCUUAGUAUAACUAGUACAUUUAACUUCCAAUUAAAAAGUCUAAAACUUUAGAGAAAAUA
RNAcentral lists this transfer RNA (64 nucleotides) under Epixanthus frontalis. Its description in RNAcentral is "tRNA-Gly". Lineage: Eukaryota; Metazoa; Arthropoda; Malacostraca; Decapoda; Oziidae. The record is from RNAcentral.